RNAcentral lists this long non-coding RNA (1908 nucleotides) under Sus scrofa (pig). Its description in RNAcentral is "lncRNA (ENSSSCG00050061775.1)". Lineage: Eukaryota; Metazoa; Chordata; Mammalia; Artiodactyla; Suidae. The record is from RNAcentral.
GGCAGGUGCCCAGAAGGCAGCGGAUAAAGUGUUUUCUUUUGGCAGUGGAAACGCCUGCUUACAGUACUUCCACAAGGCUAGGGUCUCAUCUGCCCCACUUGCCAUGCUGUCCUCUGCGUCUAGAACCAUGCCUGCCUGGCACAGAGUAGGCAACAAAUAACUAUUUUAGGAAGAAUGUCACUUUUAUCCUAGGCCUGUCCCACCGUCGUAUUUUGGAAGCGGAUAACUUGUUUUUUAGUUUUACUGGUAGACAGGUGGAAGGGAGUUUUGACCCAGAAUGGACCAUAUGUGACGUCUCACCAGUACUUGGUUGAGAUGAUGAGAUUUGGGACUUUUGAGCUAAGAAGGUUUAAAGAGAUUUUGGACUUAGAGUUGAUGCUGUCAGGGGCUGAGACAUUAAGGGCUACUGGUUUAUGGUGGAUGUAUCUUGCACAUGGGGCGGAUGUGAAUAAGCCAGAAAAUGUAUGUGCAUGUUCAGAGAGAGAGCAGGAGACUUAGGGGUAUUCUUUCCACCAUUAAAAACAAUUUUGGAGGCGUUCCCAUCAUGGCUCAGCAGGUUACGAACCUAACUAGUGUCCAUGAGGAUACUGGUUCCAUCCCUGGCCUUGCUCAGUGGGUUAAGGAUCCGGCAUGGCUGUUGACUGUGGUGUAGGUCACAGACGUGGCUCAGAUCUGGUGUUGCUGUGACUCUGCCGGCCUACACCACAGCCACAGCAACACAGGAUCUGAGCCGCGUCUGCAACCUACACGGCAAUGCCAGAUCCUUAACCCAUUGAGCGAGGCCAGGGAUUGAACCCCAGUCCUCAUGGAUGCUACUCGGGUUUGUUACCACUGAGCCACAACGGGAACUCCCCCCAUUCCAUUCUUUCAAGAGUUCCUUCACCUGACAGAAGCUGGAAAAUCCGUGAACUUGCUGUUCCAUCUCCCUUUUCGGACCUUCUUGGCAGCCAGGCCGGGGUUCCCACCUUGUGCAAUGAUUUUUGAUGGCGACCCGGGGCGAUGGCCUCCUCCCUCCUACUGUGCCUGUUGUGUCACCAUAAAAUACGGUAUUGAGCGAAGACAGGAAACCUACUUUAAGUGUCAGAGCCUGAGCAAUAGGAACUUUCAUUUUCUGGCUGUCUCCUUUCAAGUCCAAGCUCAGCUUGUUGAGGCCUGAAAAGCUGAGAUGAAAUAGUAGUUCAUGUGCCUAUUUUAUUUCUAGACUCAUCUUCCUGGAUCCUGAAUUCUGUGGUGAUUCACGCCUCAGUUAUAAGUAGCCAUAGAAAACUGUGUGAGGAAGGCCGGAUGCAUCUGUGAUCUUGUCUACUUUCUGCCCAUUCUUUGAACCUACUAUGCGCCACUCCCUCUAAGUUAUCACUUCUCUGCUGCCAUCACUAGUCCUGAACUCUCUUCCCCGGAGCCCUCAGUCACCAAGGGCUUUGAGGUCAUUCUUUGUCUGAGAUCCUUUUCCAUCCAUGUGCCAACACCCUAGUCCAGGCCUAUCUCCUUCACCAUCAGUCCCCCAGUGGGCACAAGGGCUAGAAAAAUCAAUGAGAUGCCAACUGCCCUUGGCGUCUAGGGACCCAUAAUCUUUUAUACAUCUUGAUUUUCCUAUAGCUCUGUAGUCUCCAUCAUGACUUGUAUUUAUAUUUCACUGUAUAUUUUUCUUUCAUUGAUUCGUUUGUAUAAAUUCUGUCUCUCCCGUAAAAAUGCUCAUGGAUUUCCCACCUUUCCCUAUAACUCCUCAGUCCUGUUCUUCCUAGCCAGCCACUCUCAUCUUCCACAUAAUUUAAGAAUUUCUUGGAGUUCCCUGAUGGCUCAGUGGGUUAAGGAUCUGGCACUGUCACUGCUGUGGCUUGGGUUACUGCUGUGACACAGGUUCCACUCCUAGCCCAGGAACUUCUGCAUACCAUGGCACAGUCCCCCCCC